This 481-nucleotide ribosomal RNA is filed under the name uncultured bacterium. RNAcentral describes it as "partial 16S ribosomal RNA". It matches the Rfam family "Bacterial small subunit ribosomal RNA", at positions 30 to 506 of the family's 1533-position model. The record is from RNAcentral.
AUUGAACGCUGGCGGCAUGCCUUACACAUGCAAGUCGAACGGUAACGGGCCUUCGGGUGCCGACGAGUGGCGAACGGGUGAGUAAUACAUCGGAACGUGCCCGAUCGUGGGGGAUAACGAGGCGAAAGCUUUGCUAAUACCGCAUACGAUCUACGGAUGAAAGCAGGGGACCGCAAGGCCUUGCGCGGGCGGAGCGGCCGAUGGCAGAUUAGGUAGUUGGUGAGAUAAAAGCUUACCAAGCCGACGAUCUGUAGCUGGUCUGAGAGGAUGAUCAGCCACACUGGGACUGAGACACGGCCCAGACUCCUACGGGAGGCAGCAGUGGGGAAUUUUGGACAAUGGGCGCAAGCCUGAUCCAGCCAUGCCGCGUGCAGGAUGAAGGCCUUCGGGUUGUAAACUGCUUUUGUACGGAACGAAAAGCCUUCUUUUAAUACAGGAGGGUCAUGACGGUACCGUAAGAAUAAGCACCGGCUAACUACGU